This 63-nucleotide transfer RNA is filed under the name Zootermopsis angusticollis (Pacific dampwood termite). RNAcentral describes it as "tRNA-His". The record is from RNAcentral. Lineage: Eukaryota; Metazoa; Arthropoda; Insecta; Blattodea; Termopsidae.
ACUUUAGUAGUUUAAUUAAAAUAUUGAUUUGUGGUGUCAAUGAUGCAUUUUUUGCCUUGGGUU